AGGCGACGACGGGUAGCCGGCCUGAGAGGGUGACCGGCCACACUGGGACUGAGACACGGCCCAGACUCCUACGGGAGGCAGCAGUGGGGAAUAUUGCACAAUGGGCGCAAGCCUGAUGCAGCGACGCCGCGUGAGGGAUGACGGCCUUCGGGUUGUAAACCUCUUUCAGCAGGGAAGAAGCCACAAGUGACGGUACCUGCAGAAGAAGCGCCGGCUAACUACGUGCCAGCAGCCGCGGUAAUACGUAGGGCGCAAGCGUUGUCCGGAAUUAUUGGGCGUAAAGAGCUCGUAGGCGGUUUGUCGCGUCUGCUGUGAAAGCCCGGGGCUCAACCCCGGGUCUGCAGUGGGUACGGGCAGACUAGAGUGCAGUAGGGGAGACUGGAAUUCCUGGUGUAGCGGUGAAAUGCGCAGAUAUCAGGAGGAACACCGAUGGCGAAGGCAGGUCUCUGGGCUGUUACUGACGCUGAGGAGCGAAAGCAUGGGGAGCGAACAGGAUUAGAUACCCUGGUAGUCCAUGCCGUAAACGUUGGGCACUAGGUGUGGGGGACAUUCCACGUUCUCCGCGCCGUAGCUAACGCAUUAAGUGCCCCGCCUGGGGAGUACGGA
This 606-nucleotide ribosomal RNA is filed under the name Kocuria sp. CMT102. RNAcentral describes it as "bacterial SSU rRNA". It matches the Rfam family "Bacterial small subunit ribosomal RNA", at positions 271 to 886 of the family's 1533-position model. RNAcentral also lists the same sequence under 2 other names. Lineage: Bacteria; Bacillati; Actinomycetota; Actinomycetes; Micrococcales; Micrococcaceae. The record is from RNAcentral.